CGUGACGGCGCGAGCAGGUGCGAAAGCAGGUCAUAGUGAUCCGGUGGUUCUGAAUGGAAGGGCCAUCGCUCAACGGAUAAAAGGUACUCCGGGGAUAACAGGCUGAUACCGCCCAAGAGUUCAUAUCGACGGCGGUGUUUGGCACCUCGAUGUCGGCUCAUCACAUCCUGGGGCUGAAGUAGGUCCCAAGGGUAUGGCUGUUCGCCAUUUAAAGUGGUACGCGAGCUGGGUUUAGAACGUCGUGAGACAGUUCGGUCCCUAUCUGCCGUGGGCGCUGGAGAACUGAGGGGGGCUGCUCCUAGUACGAGAGGACCGGAGUGGACGCAUCACUGGUGUUCGGGUUGUCAUGCCAAUGGCACUGCCCGGUAGCUAAAUGCGGAAGAGAUAAGUGCUGAAAGCAUCUAAGCACGAAACUUGCCCCGAGAUGAGUUCUCCCUGAGACUUAGAG
Molecule: ribosomal RNA, 448 nt
Filed under: Salmonella enterica
Lineage: Bacteria; Pseudomonadati; Pseudomonadota; Gammaproteobacteria; Enterobacterales; Enterobacteriaceae
Description: partial 23S ribosomal RNA
Rfam family: Bacterial large subunit ribosomal RNA
Source: RNAcentral